This 74-nucleotide transfer RNA is filed under the name Candidatus Acetothermia bacterium. RNAcentral's name for it is "tRNA-Ile". It matches the Rfam family "tRNA". From Rfam's summary of the family: Transfer RNA (tRNA) molecules are approximately 80 nucleotides in length. Their secondary structure includes four short double-helical elements and three loops (D, anti-codon, and T loops). The record is from RNAcentral. Lineage: Bacteria; Candidatus Bipolaricaulota. RNAcentral also lists the same sequence under 3 other names.
GGGUCUGUAGCUCAGCUGGUUAGAGCGCUCGCCUGAUAAGCGGGAGGUCCCUGGUUCGAAUCCAGGCAGGCCCA